GGGAAUAGUAUAGUGUCAUCAGACCUUGCUGGAUCCUGCCUACCCAAGCGUACCUCUGCCUUCUCAGACUGCUUACAUGUAUGACUUCAGCUUUGAAUAAAACUACGCCUAACAUCAUGCCCUCGUCUCAGAAUCCUGCAUUUGGAUCCAGCCCGGCACCAGAGGUCCCAUUGCCACCUGGGACAAUGGUCUCCAUUCAGAUCCAGGUCACAGUUGAGUGGAACCAGUCUGCUUUGUUUGGAUCGGUCCGGUCCAGUUUGGUCCAUCUGCCACACAAGUUAGCUUCACAGGGACACGAGUGAGACACGACUGCCAGCAUACAGGUGUGUUUUCACAAAAAAGGUUUCCUCUGAGGGGGUCAGGAGUUGAACACAAGUGGUACCAACACAACGGCGAUGCUGCAACGCAGAGUUACUGAAUGCAGCAAAGAAGCUAAUUGAAACGACCAACCUGCGUGAGAGUGAGUUCGACGACACAGACUCAAACCAACAACGUUACGACCUGCUCCCCUUUUGCUUCUCAGAUUUUACCUCGUCCCACAGAGAAGUUCAUCUUUGAGGAUACCUCUUCAACACCAGCAUAUUCCCAUAGUUAAAUCUUAAAACACACACACACACAC
Molecule: long non-coding RNA, 619 nt
Organism: Syngnathoides biaculeatus (alligator pipefish)
Lineage: Eukaryota; Metazoa; Chordata; Actinopteri; Syngnathiformes; Syngnathidae
Exons: 6
Source: RefSeq, a predicted model, not a curated record